UGGGGAAUAUUGGACAAUGGGCGAAAGCCUGAUCCAGCCAUGCCGCGUGUGUGAAGAAGGUCUUCGGAUUGUAAAGCACUUUAAGUUGGGAGGAAGGGCAUUAACCUAAUACGUUAGUGUUUUGACGUUACCGACAGAAUAAGCACCGGCUAACUCUGUGCCAGCAGCCGCGGUAAUACAGAGGGUGCAAGCGUUAAUCGGAAUUACUGGGCGUAAAGCGCGCGUAGGUGGUUUGUUAAGUUGGAUGUGAAAUCCCCGGGCUCAACCUGGGAACUGCAUUCAAAACUGACUGACUAGAGUAUGGUAGAGGGUGGUGGAAUUUCCUGUGUAGCGGUGAAAUGCGUAGAUAUAGGAAGGAACACCAGUGGCGAAGGCGACCACCUGGACUAAUACUGUCACUGAGGUGCGAAAGCGUGGGGAGCAAACA
RNAcentral lists this ribosomal RNA (427 nucleotides) under uncultured bacterium. RNAcentral describes it as "partial 16S ribosomal RNA". It matches the Rfam family "Bacterial small subunit ribosomal RNA", at positions 355 to 774 of the family's 1533-position model. The record is from RNAcentral.